RNAcentral lists this ribosomal RNA (253 nucleotides) under uncultured bacterium. RNAcentral describes it as "partial 16S ribosomal RNA". It matches the Rfam family "Bacterial small subunit ribosomal RNA", at positions 524 to 776 of the family's 1533-position model. The record is from RNAcentral.
UACAGAGGCCCCAAGCGUUACUGAGAAUCACUGGGUUUAAAGGGUGCGUAGGUGGCGCGUUAAGUCCGUUGUGAAAUCCCUUGGCUCAACCAAGGAAAUGCUUCGGAUACUGGCGUGCUUGAGGCCGGUAAGGAUCACUGGAACUGACGGUGGAGCGGUGAAAUGCGUAGAUAUCGUCAGGAACGCCAAUGGUGAAGACAGGUGACUGGGCCGGUACUGACACUGAGGCACGAAAGCGUGGGGAGCGAACGGG